GCUGAAAAGUAUUUAAAAGCUGCUAACUUUUUAUGAGUAUAUUAUGUACUACUUU
Molecule: transfer RNA, 55 nt
Filed under: Tetragnatha maxillosa
Lineage: Eukaryota; Metazoa; Arthropoda; Arachnida; Araneae; Tetragnathidae
Description: tRNA-Ser
Source: RNAcentral